Molecule: ribosomal RNA, 253 nt
Filed under: uncultured organism
Description: partial 16S ribosomal RNA
Rfam family: Bacterial small subunit ribosomal RNA
Source: RNAcentral
UACAGAGGGUGCAAGCGUUAAUCGGAAUUACUGGGCGUAAAGCGUGCGUAGGUGGUUCGGUCAGUCAGAUGUGAAAGCCCUGGGCUCAACCUGGGAACUGCAUUUGAUACUGCUGAGCUAGAGUUUGGUAGAGGGAAGUGGAAUUCCACGUGUAGCGGUGAAAUGCGUAGAUAUGUGGAGGAACACCAGUGGCGAAGGCGGCUUCCUGGACUAAAACUGACACUGAGGCACGAAAGCGUGGGGAGCAAACAGG